CCCCUGGGCCCACUCUGCUCUGCCAGCCCCGGGUCCCCAGCGGGGCGCGGCCCCAGAGCCUGCUCGCUGCCCGGGCACCUCGAGGAGGAGGAGGAGGACUGGGCCCUGGACGUGAAGCACAUCCCCUGCGUGUCCGAGAUGGUGGCUGGCACACGAGCUGCUAGUGCGCAGGGGCAGCGGAGCCCGGAGGCAUCGGGGAGCUCUGCCCUAAGAGAUGGCCACGCCCCCCCUGACCUGGUGACCCCGCUCUGACCAUGGCCCCCAGAGCUGGGUCUGGAGCUUGCACAGGAAGCUGUUUGCCUCGCGCAGCCGCACGGGGCAGGAUCGGAGCAUGGAGGCUGCCAGGAACAGGACGGUGUGAGCCUUGGGCACCGCCCACCACACGCGGUGCCCCAUGGGGUCAGCCCCUCCCUCUGCAUUGACUCCGAGCCUCCGCCCCCAGAUCCUGACCUCCCCGCUCCCCCCACAUGGGGGCCUUAGCCACUGCCCCAUGGAUUCUGCCCUUCCUACCCCAUAGCCUUUACCCCAGAUCCUGCUUUUCCCACCCCCCACCUCAUGACUCCUCCUGGUGUUCUCACUCAGCCAUUCUUCCACGUGCAAGUGCACGCGCACAGUGAUCCCUGUCUCACCCUGCCAUCUUUCCAUGUGCAACUGCACAAUCACAGCAAUCCCUGUCUCACCCUGCCGUCCUUCCAUGUGCAACUGCACAAUCACAGC
This is a non-coding RNA of Pelodiscus sinensis (Chinese soft-shelled turtle), 717 nucleotides long. NCBI's taxonomy places the organism in Eukaryota, Metazoa, Chordata, Testudines, Trionychidae. The record is from RefSeq and is a predicted model, not a curated record.